CAGGCGCACCCGUAAGAACUGAACCUGGAUUGCACAGACUCAUACAAAGCCAGGCAAUUCUUGAGCCAAACAAACAAAGGGGUAUUCUUCAGGGGGUGGAGAACAUUCACAUGGAUUGAUACCUUAGUUUUCUAGCAUGGAGCAAAGAUGCGCCCUCGGGGAAGACAGAUUGAGUUUUGGGGUGCCACAACCUGUGGAAGAUUCACCUGUUCUCUG
Long non-coding RNA from Octodon degus (degu), 216 nucleotides. RefSeq lists it as uncharacterized. The transcript is spliced from 3 exons. NCBI's taxonomy places the organism in Eukaryota, Metazoa, Chordata, Mammalia, Rodentia, Octodontidae. The record is from RefSeq and is a predicted model, not a curated record.